Molecule: transfer RNA, 71 nt
Filed under: Selaginella remotifolia
Lineage: Eukaryota; Viridiplantae; Streptophyta; Lycopodiopsida; Selaginellales; Selaginellaceae
Description: tRNA-Gly
Rfam family: tRNA
About the family: Transfer RNA (tRNA) molecules are approximately 80 nucleotides in length. Their secondary structure includes four short double-helical elements and three loops (D, anti-codon, and T loops).
Source: RNAcentral
GCGGGUAUAGUUUAUUGGUCAAAUUCCUCCUUGCCAAGGAGGAAACGCGGGUUCGAUUCCCGCUGCCCGCC